GAUCUACAUUGAUAUUGUUUUGUGAUGAUACCAUCUAUCUCUUAAUAUUUGUGCAAAUCAUUCUAGAACAAAUAAUGGACACAAUUCAAUGGAUAUCAAUCAACAAAGAGGUAUACAGACAAUGAGGCAUACAAAGGUAUGUCUAUUGGUAUGUUAUGGAGAUCACGUGUACCAUUCUCCUCCCUUGCCUCAUCAAUGAAAACCACAUAGGCCUCUACAUUAUGGACAAGACUUCACCCUCCCUACACCUCUGAUGAAUGUAUCAGGAAACCUUUUCGAUCACCAUGCACUGCAAAAUCAUUCUGGCUAUGGAUACGGAGAACAUCAACACAUUAACAUCAACAGGCCAGAGGAUAUACCCAUUGGACAUGGAGCUCACAUUUAAAAAUAAGAUUCUGCUUUGCCACUAAAAUCAGAAUAAACACUGACAA
Molecule: long non-coding RNA, 431 nt
Organism: Oncorhynchus kisutch (coho salmon)
Lineage: Eukaryota; Metazoa; Chordata; Actinopteri; Salmoniformes; Salmonidae
Exons: 3
Source: RefSeq, a predicted model, not a curated record